UCGAGAAUAACUUCUCCUCCCAAGGUCCCCACACAAGACACCUGCAUCCAGAAAGCGGAAACGAAUUCGGCAAUGCCGUUUCGUGCCAGUUCCAACAAUUGAUUGGGGCUGUAGCUCAGUUGGGAGAGCGCUAGCUUUGCAAGCUUGAGGUCGUCGGUUCGAUCCCGAUCAGCUCCACCAACCAAACACUAAACGGGUCUGUAGCUCAGGUGGUUAGAGCGCACCCCUGAUAAGGGUGAGGUCGGUGGUUCGAGUCCUCCCAGACCCACCAUUCUGGAUGUUGCGCACACACGAAUUUAUGCUGUUGGACGUUGAGGUCCAAUGGUGUUCUUUGACAAUUUGGGACGUAACAAGCGUCUGAACUCUCAAACCGAGUUUAGAUGUGUCGUUGAGGCAAUUAGGCGAGUCUUGGACCGUGUAAUUCCGAGGAGACUUGGAGUUAUAUGGUCAAGCGAAUAAGCGUCUACGGUGGAUGCCUUGGCGGUCAGAGGCGAAGAAGGACGUGGCAGCCUGCGAAAAGCGCGGGGGAGCCGGCAACACGCAUUGAUCCCGCGAUGU
RNAcentral lists this unclassified non-coding RNA (558 nucleotides) under uncultured Gammaproteobacteria bacterium. Its description in RNAcentral is "partial contains 16S ribosomal RNA, 16S-23S ribosomal RNA intergenic spacer, and 23S ribosomal RNA". The stretch from base 446 to 558 matches the Rfam family "Bacterial large subunit ribosomal RNA", at positions 1 to 113 of the family's 2925-position model. The record is from RNAcentral. Lineage: Bacteria; Pseudomonadati; Pseudomonadota; Gammaproteobacteria.